CCUACGGGUGGCAGCAGUCGGGAAUAUUUGUCAAUGGGCGCAAGCCUGACCCAGCGACGCCGCGUGAGGGAUGAAGGCCUUCGGGUCGUAAACCUCUGUCGGGAGGGAAGAAUGGCGGUGAAGCAAAUAGUUUCGCUGUCUGACGGUACCUCCAAAGGAAGCGCCGGCUAACUCCGUGCCAGCAGCCGCGGUAAUACGGAGGGCGCAACUGUGGUUCGGAAUCACUUGGCGUAAAGCGCGUGUCGGAUGCGAAAUCCCGAGGCUCAACCUCGGAACUGCAGUCGAAACUGUCCGGCUCGAGUCCCGGAGAGGAUGGCAGAAUUCCCGGUGUAGGGGUGAAAUCCGUAGAUAUCGGGAGGAAUACCAGUGGCGAAGGCGGCCAUCUGGACGGUGACUGACGCUGAGACGCGAAAGCGUGGGGAGCAAACAGGAUUAGAUACCCCGGUAGUC
Molecule: ribosomal RNA, 450 nt
Filed under: uncultured bacterium
Lineage: Bacteria
Description: partial 16S ribosomal RNA
Rfam family: Bacterial small subunit ribosomal RNA
Source: RNAcentral